Molecule: ribosomal RNA, 492 nt
Filed under: uncultured bacterium
Lineage: Bacteria
Description: partial 16S ribosomal RNA
Rfam family: Bacterial small subunit ribosomal RNA
Source: RNAcentral
AGUGAACGCUGGCGGUAGGCCUAACACAUGCAAGUCGAACGGCAGCACAGUAAGAGCUUGCUCUUACGGGUGGCGAGUGGCGGACGGGUGAGGAAUGCAUCGGAAUCUACUUUUUCGUGGGGGAUAACGUAGGGAAACUUACGCUAAUACCGCAUACGACCUACGGGUGAAGGCAGGGGAUCUUCGGACCUUGCGCGAUUGAAUGAGCCGAUGUCGGAUUAGCUAGUUGGCGGGGUAAAGGCCCACCAAGGCGACGAUCCGUAGCUGGUCUGAGAGGAUGAUCAGCCACACUGGAACUGAGACACGGUCCAGACUCCUACGGGAGGCAGCAGUGGGGAAUAUUGGACAAUGGGCGCAAGCCUGAUCCAGCCAUACCGCGUGGGUGAAGAAGGCCUUCGGGUUGUAAAGCCCUUUUGUUGGGAAAGAAAAGCAGCAGGUUAAUACCCCGCUGUUCUGACGGUACCCAAAGAAUAAGCACCGGCUAACUUCGUG